This 464-nucleotide ribosomal RNA is filed under the name uncultured bacterium. RNAcentral's name for it is "bacterial SSU rRNA". It matches the Rfam family "Bacterial small subunit ribosomal RNA", at positions 48 to 507 of the family's 1533-position model. The record is from RNAcentral.
UUAACACAUGCAAGUCGAGCGGUAGCAGAUCUAGCUUGCUAGAUGCUGACGAGCGGCGGACGGGUGAGUAACGCGUAGGAACCUGCCCAGUAUGGGGGGAUAGCCCGGGGAAACUCGGAUUAAUACCGCAUACGCUCUACGGAGGAAAGAGGGGGCUUCGGCUCUCGCUAUUGGAUGGGCCUGCGUGAGAUUAGCUAGUUGGUGAGGUAAUGGCUCACCAAGGCGACGAUCUCUAGCUGGUCUGAGAGGAUGAUCAGCCACACUGGGACUGAGACACGGCCCAGACUCCUACGGGAGGCAGCAGUGGGGAAUAUUGCACAAUGGGCGCAAGCCUGAUGCAGCCAUGCCGCGUGUGUGAAGAAGGCUUUCGGGUUGUAAAGCACUUUCAGUGGGGAGGAAGGCCUCGUAGUUAAUAGCUGCGAGGAUUGACGUUACCCACAGAAGAAGCACCGGCUAACUCCGUG